RNAcentral lists this ribosomal RNA (252 nucleotides) under Boophis quasiboehmei. RNAcentral's name for it is "partial 16S ribosomal RNA". The record is from RNAcentral. Lineage: Eukaryota; Metazoa; Chordata; Amphibia; Anura; Mantellidae.
CCCCCCUCUAAUCAGUGAAACUGAUCUCCCCGUGAAGAAGCGGGGAUAUACAUAUAAGACGAGAAGACCCCAUGGAGNUUUAAACCUGACAGCACCCGCUCAUUCUAUACCCCAUUAUUUGCCCGACCCCUGUCUGCUCAGUUUUAGGUUGGGGNGACCACGGAGUAUAAAAUAACCUCCAUGAAGAAGGGGAUAUUUCCCUUAUUANAGAACCACACUUCCAAGAACUAAUAAAUUANUUUUCAAUGACCC